ACAGCCCCUCCCAGGUUAAGCGGAGGAGCUCUCAAGCUUGGCGUUGGCAGGAUUUUUGCCCAGCUUCAAAGGGAUUUGAAGGGUGGUGACAGGCUCCAGCCCAGACUGCGCCUCGGAAUGCAGACGCUUCUCUGCCUAGAACCUGGCCCGGCCUUGUGGGAAAGCCCCGGUUCCUGGCGGCACUGAACUGGUUGAUAUUCUAAAGAGAGCAGACACUGAGCAAAUGUUUGUUGAACUGAACCAAUCUGCUCCCUAUGGGGACGUGACCUCCACUUCACGGUGUCGAACUAAACAAACACUUACUUCUCCAGAACUAAACAGACACAUACCUCUGCAGACAAAUAGUGAAAACGAUCCACUUCGAAAUAAGGUAAAAAGCUCCUAUGUUUCCAUGCCUCGUAAUGUGCCACAAAAUAUCGAAUGGUUCAAACAAGAACAAAGUAGGUUAUUUUGUUUGCUAUUUCACUUGCUUGCUGUAGUCUGCAGGUCUUCACAGAAUGAGAAGCAUAAUAACGCUCAUGACUCCAGGCUAGUUCUGUUCUUUGCCAAUGUGUGGUUUGGGAGUUCCGUGAAGUGUUUGUAGUCACUGCUGAUAAUCCAGGUGACAUGGCAAACACCGCCGUUCCCUUGGUCCAGUACAAAUAGAGAAAGUUUCACUCGUAGGCAGCAUCUGAGCACCAGGCUCACAGGGACAUCAGCCUCUUCACUCUUCCAAACUCCAGCUCUCUUCAUUAAGAUAUUCUGGAUGCAACUAAGGAGUUGCUGCAAACAUUUUGGAAAUUACAGGUUGACUCACUUAUUAACUAUCUAACAGAAGAAAGAUCAAUAACAAGCAUUAUUGCUGGAACAUUCUAUGAAUGGACUUCUUUCUACACAUGAUUGGUGAACAUUGUAUUUCAGUUAAUUACAUAUCCUGAUAAUAUAUGAAUUAAUACCGUGAUAUCAUGUAUACAAUAACAAUACUCAAUGGAAAUAUAGUAAAACAGAAAUGAAAAUAAUUUUGUUUUUCCUUGA
Long non-coding RNA from Cebus imitator (Panamanian white-faced capuchin), 1014 nucleotides. RefSeq lists it as uncharacterized. The transcript has 3 exons. The record is from RefSeq and is a predicted model, not a curated record. Lineage: Eukaryota; Metazoa; Chordata; Mammalia; Primates; Cebidae.